AAGACUGGGAUAACUCCGGGAAACCGGGGCUAAUACCGGAUGCUUGUUUGAACCGCAUGGUUCAAACAUAAAAGGUGGCUUCGGCUACCACUUACAGAUGGACCCGCGGCGCAUUAGCUAGUUGGUGAGGUAAUGGCUCACCAAGGCAACGAUGCGUAGCCGACCUGAGAGGGUGAUCGGCCACACUGGGACUGAGACACGGCCCAGACUCCUACGGGAGGCAGCAGUAGGGAAUCUUCCGCAAUGGACGAAAGUCUGACGGAGCAACGCCGCGUGAGUGAUGAAGGUUUUCGGAUCGUAAAGCUCUGUUGUUAGGGAAGAACAAGUACCGUUCGAAUAGGGCGGUACCUUGACGGUACCUAACCAGAAAGCCACGGCUAACUACGUGCCAGCAGCCGCGGUAAUACGUAGGUGGCAAGCGUUGUCCGGAAUUAUUGGGCGUAAAGGGCUCGCAGGCGGUUUCUUAAGUCUGAUGUGAAAGCCCCCGGCUCAACCGGGGAGGGUCAUUGGAAACUGGGGAACUUGAGUGCAGAAGAGGAGAGUGGAAUUCCACGUGUAGCGGUGAAAUGCGUAGAGAUGUGGAGGAACACCAGUGGCGAAGGCGACUCUCUGGUCUGUAACUGACGCUGAGGAGCGAAAGCGUGGGGAGCGAACAGGAUUAGAUACCCUGGUAGUCCACGCCGUAAACGAUGAGUGCUAAGUGUUAGGGGGUUUCCGCCCCUUAGUGCUGCAGCUAACGCAUUAAGCACUCCGCCUGGGGAGUACGGUCGCAAGACUGAAACUCAAAGGAAUUGACGGGGGCCCGCACAAGCGGUGGAGCAUGUGGUUUAAUUCGAAGCAACGCGAAGAACCUUACCAGGUCUUGACAUCCUCUGACAAUCCUAGAGAUAGGACGUCCCCUUCGGGGGCAGAGUGACAGGUGGUGCAUGGUUGUCGUCAGCUCGUGUCGUGAGAUGUUGGGUUAAGUCCCGCAACGAGCGCAACCCUUGAUCUUAGUUGCCAGCAUUCAGUUGGGCACUCUAAGGUGACUGCCGGUGACAAACCGGAGGAAGGUGGGGAUGACGUCAAAUCAUCAUGCCCCUUAUGACCUGGGCUACACACGUGCUACAAUGGACAGAACAAAGGGCAGCGAAACCGCGAGGUUAAGCCAAUCCCACAAAUCUGUUCU
This 1168-nucleotide ribosomal RNA is filed under the name Bacillus subtilis. RNAcentral's name for it is "bacterial SSU rRNA". It matches the Rfam family "Bacterial small subunit ribosomal RNA", at positions 134 to 1288 of the family's 1533-position model. Lineage: Bacteria; Bacillati; Bacillota; Bacilli; Caryophanales; Bacillaceae. The record is from RNAcentral.